CAGGCCUUGGCAGCAGGAACACUCAGACUCACAGAUAGCAGCAGAAAAUGAGCUCAUAAGGCAAGCCAGAGCCCCUCCUGCCUUUGUGUGAUGGUCAGCUCCCUGCUCAGAGCAGCACUAUUGGCAUGUCCCCAGCUGGAAGCCUCCAACCCUCCUCAGGCUUGCCACCAGUGAAGAAGACCCAUUGUUCCAGGCAGUACCAACGACCAUUCAACGAGUAGUCCUGGAGCUUGUGCCAUAUUAAUGGUUAAAAGGAAAGAACAUGCCAGAAGAAAGGCAGGCAGGAAGGGUGUCCUUGAAAGCAGGCACACCCAUCUCACUGAUAUCUCAAAUCAACAGUUUUUCAAGAGGUCUCUGUGCAACCAAGGAGUAUGACAUUUACUAAUGUGUUGAGAGUCAGGGAUUCUCUUUUGUAGGAGCCAAUACUAAUAAGAAAGAUAUGGUUCAGUGUCCUGGGUAUUCUUCCAAGUUUUAUUAAUUAGAUGGAAAGCUUGUCCCUCUGGAAUAUUGUAAGGUAUUUAUUAACACUUCAGUCCACAAACUAGAACAAAUUUACAGUAGCGGAGGUAAUUGUUACAUACACCAGCCCUGGUUAUCAACUUGGCAGGGAAAAGCAGAAAAAGGUUAAGAUUAUGAUCUUUUUCAUGAUAUUUUAAUUGUACUUCUUAAUCUGCUAAAUUAAAAACUACAGAGCAAUCUUAUUCAGAUCACAGACGAAAAAGAUCAUAUCAAUUUGUGACAAAAUGUAUGAAUGCUACUAUCUGCUUUAAUUAUGCAGAAAAUUUAACAGUCAAAUUCAGUAUGAUCACAGAGCGGGUAAGAUACAAAUAUUAUCUCUUCUCCAGUUGUGCUAUCUCCUCCCUAAGCGUUUUUGUGUUUUCUUCCAAGCCUCUCAUCCCUUAAUGUCUGGACACUCUCCCCCAGCUAAUUUGUAAUGCCACCACUUUCUCCUCCUUCAGAUUAAACAUCAAGAUCCAUCCCUACCACUACGUUUUCAGUCAAUUGGCAACUGAUAAUGUCAAUGCAGGUGGUCAUAACUAUCUCACUUAUUUAUACGCUUCAAAAAGAAUCAUAACUGUGCUCAUAGCUAGUCUGUGUAACCACAUGUUCCUUUAACUAUUGCCCUUGGUCUUCCCAUUCCCACUCCAUCUGUUUUUUAUAUCUACUUAAUUCAGACUGUCCCCUCUUAGGGGUACAUGGGUGUAUGUUCAGUGCCUAACACAGUGGGACCCUGAUCUGAAUGGAUGCUAUUGUAACACACAAUUAACGAAUUAUAAUGUUUUGUUAUGAGUUUCUAGUGUAAAACUACUUUGAUGAUGAAAGUAUAUUUGGGCCUUAACUUGCACUCCUGAAUCCAUGCCCUUGAAGUCAAUGAGAGCUUUCCCUGAGGAAGGCCCACAAAGAGUUCGAUCCAAGCUUCCAAUAUUUAAGCACAUAUUGCUGUGAAUCCUCUAAAACAAUACUUGUGCAGGUGUGUGCACAGGCAGGACUUUGUUGUGCAAGGUUUGCUAAGGAUGUUCAACCUGGAGUAAGACCUGAAACUGUUAGCCACUUAAAUGCUGUUAUUUUGGGAAAUCUGGCACUCCAUCUCCUCAGCCCGUUACUUUUCCAUGAUCGACCUCUAAUACGCUGUGUCAUGGCAACUCUCCUUCUUGUUGACCAGUACUUGAUGUGGCUAUCUUUCUGAAGGUUAUCAAUACCAACCAGUGUGUGAUACAGAAGGGUUCAUUUCUUC
Molecule: long non-coding RNA, 1735 nt
Organism: Mauremys mutica (yellowpond turtle)
Lineage: Eukaryota; Metazoa; Chordata; Testudines; Geoemydidae
Exons: 5
Source: RefSeq, a predicted model, not a curated record